Molecule: non-coding RNA, 558 nt
Organism: Danio rerio (zebrafish)
Lineage: Eukaryota; Metazoa; Chordata; Actinopteri; Cypriniformes; Danionidae
Source: Ensembl
CACAGGUUUACAGCUCAACCUCUAAAGUCCCAUAUCUGGCUGAGGAGACUGGAUCAUCCAGAACAUCACCAGUGGAAAAAAGGUGUGAAUGCAUACUCAAAGCCCCUAAGUGAGGGAGUACAUGGAUGCUGGGCAUGAUGAAGCGCAAACCUUGAUGUGCAACACCACCUUAUGAAUCUACAGUAGUUACAUUAACAUUUAGCAGACUCUUUUGUCUAAAGUGACUUACAAUUGAGGAGACAUUCAGCAAAUCAACAAGAAGAGGCGAUACAUCCAAGAUGUGCUAAUUAUACAAAAAAAUUUAAGAAUUAAGAAUGCUUCUACAUGUGGUUUGUCAAGCCCACACACCUGUGGGAAGCAGACUUCAUGCACAAUGUUUUGUUUUUUUGUUUUUUAGAUAUAGGGAGUGGUUGUAAGAAAGUGUCUGGUGCAAAUGUGCAUAAAUGGUGCAAGUGUCAGAGAGAUGAAUGUGUGUAGCUAUUGCAUGUUCUGUCAUGGUUGGUCUAAUUUAUGGUGUAGUGCUGAUCGUGUUACUUUGCUUUAAAAUGUUAAUCUUUC